Molecule: ribosomal RNA, 1401 nt
Filed under: uncultured bacterium
Lineage: Bacteria
Description: 16S ribosomal RNA
Rfam family: Bacterial small subunit ribosomal RNA
Source: RNAcentral
AGAGUUUGAUCCUGGCUCAGGAUGAACGCUAGCGACAGGCUUAACACAUGCAAGUCGAGGGGCAGCGGGGUUGUAGCAAUACAACUGCCGGCGACCGGCGCACGGGUGAGUAACACGUAUGUAACCUGCCCUCUGCAGGGGGAUAAGCGGAAGAAAUUCCGUCUAAUACCGCAUGAUACAAUUUGGAGACAUCUCCGGGUUGUCAAAGGAGUGAUUCGGCAGAGGAUGGGCAUGCGGCGCAUUAGCUAGUCGGCGGGGUAACGGCCCACCGAGGCUACGAUGCGUAGGGGUUCUGAGAGGAAGGUCCCCCACACUGGUACUGAGACACGGACCAGACUCCUACGGGAGGCAGCAGUGAGGAAUAUUGGUCAAUGGGCGGAAGCCUGAACCAGCCAAGCCGCGUGAGAGAGGAAGGUACAGAGUAUCGUAAACCUCUUUUGUCAGGGAACAAAGACUGGGACGCGUCCCCGGAUGAGUGUACCUGAAGAAAAAGCAUCGGCUAACUCCGUGCCAGCAGCCGCGGUAAUACGGAGGAUGCGAGCGUUAUCCGGAUUUAUUGGGUUUAAAGGGUGCGCAGGCGGUCUGUUAAGUCAGCGGUCAAAGCCCGGGGCUCAACCCCGGCCCGCCGUUGAAACUGGCAGUCUCGAGUUGGAGAGAAGUAUGCGGAAUGCGCGGUGUAGCGGUGAAAUGCAUAGAUAUCGCGCAGAACUCCGAUUGCGAAGGCAGCAUGCCGGCUCCACACUGACGCUGAGGCACGAAAGCGUGGGUAUCGAACAGGAUUAGAUACCCUGGUAGUCCACGCAGUAAACGAUGAAUGCUGGCUGUCCGGGGGGACUGACCUCUGGGUGGCGAAGCGAAAGCGAUAAGCAUUCCACCUGGGGAGUACGCCGGCAACGGUGAAACUCAAAGGAAUUGACGGGGGCCCGCACAAGCGGAGGAACAUGUGGUUUAAUUCGAUGAUACGCGAGGAACCUUACCCGGGCUCAAACGGGGAGUGCCGCAGGCAGAGACGCCUGUUUCCCACGGGACACUCCCCGAGGUGCUGCAUGGUUGUCGUCAGCUCGUGCCGUGAGGUGUCGGCUUAAGUGCCAUAACGAGCGCAACCCCCGCGUGCAGUUGCUAACAGAUAACGCUGAGGACUCUGCACGGACUGCCGGCGCAAGCCGCGAGGAAGGCGGGGAUGACGUCAAAUCAGCACGGCCCUUACGUCCGGGGCGACACACGUGUUACAAUGGGUGGUACAGCGGGAAGCCAGGCGGCGACGCCGAGCGGAACCCGAAAUCCACUCUCAGUUCGGAUCGGAGUCUGCAACCCGACUCCGUGAAGCUGGAUUCGCUAGUAAUCGCGCAUCAGCCAUGGCGCGGUGAAUACGUUCCCGGGCCUUGCACUCACAGCCCGUCA